GAUGAACGCUGGCGGCGUGCCUAAUACAUGCAAGUCGAGCGAACGGACGAGAAGCUUGCUUCUCUGAUGUUAGCGGCGGACGGGUGAGUAACACGUGGAUAACCUACCUAUAAGACUGGGAUAACUUCGGGAAACCGGAGCUAAUGCCGGAUAAUAUUUUGAACCGCAUGGUUCAAAAGUGAAAGACGGUCUUGCCGUCACUUAUAGAUGGAUCCGCGCUGCAUUAGCUAGUUGGUAAGGUAACGGCUUACCAAGGCAACGAUGCAUAGCCGACCUGAGAGGGUGAUCGGCCACACUGGAACUGAGACACGGUCCAGACUCCUACGGGAGGCAGCAGUAGGGAAUCUUCCGCAAUGGGCGAAAGCCUGACGGAGCAACGCCGCGUGAGUGAUGAAGGUCUUCGGAUCGUAAAACUCUGUUAUUAGGGAAGAACAUAUGUGUAAGUAACUGUGCACAUCUUGACGGUACCUAAUCAGAAAGCCACGGCUAACUACGUG
This 497-nucleotide ribosomal RNA is filed under the name uncultured bacterium. Its description in RNAcentral is "partial 16S ribosomal RNA". It matches the Rfam family "Bacterial small subunit ribosomal RNA", at positions 28 to 507 of the family's 1533-position model. The record is from RNAcentral.